GAUUUGCGGUGACGGGUUAUGUACGAGGCGGGACUUCCGGGGCAGCCGUAGUAGGUAGUGUCGGGAGGUGUAGUGGGAAGGAAAGGACACGUCAGCAUCUGGCCGCGGGGCGCGGGGGGCCAUGGGAGCCCCGGGGGCGGGGACAGCCUCUCCUUCCAGUCUAGUCCCGCCCAUUGCGCCCCGCCCCGCGGGCCAGCGGGGAGCCCACGUGUACUGCUGAGUUCCUGGAGGGCGCACCCGGAUUGGGGAGCGCGGUUUGGGGAAUCCGGAGCCAAGGAGGCGAGGACCUGAACAAUCUCCGUACAGGCUGCACACCUAAUUCCGACAUUUUACGUCAGCUAAAAGUGUGGGGAGGACUUGGAAAAGUCUGAGCAUCGUUAAAUCUGCGGAUGCUGGCGUUGACGGAACGCGGCCAGGCACCCUUCCUGUAGUUGGGAGUGUAUCUCUCGUGUUUGUGUCGCCGGUGUCUGGCACUUGUAAGGCUCUCGAUUAAUGUUGGGGGGGGGGGGUAGGGUAAAUCUCUCUUAGGGGGUGAUGUGCCCUGUGCACGGGAGAGAAUGGCCCUCGUUUUCGGGCUCUUCUCAGCUUCGCCAAUGAAGGUUAGGGAAAGCCAUGGUACAAGCUCUCCCUGGGCCUAGAGGAGGCAGUCCCUUGGUCGCUUGUGAAGAGCCAUGCCGGUUCCAACCACCUGAUCCCAUCCCUUAACCUGGCCCUAGUCUCUUCUGAAUAAAGAGAUUGGGGGAGAGGCGUGUGGAGCAAGGACAUACAAAUGUUUAAGUGAAUGUUUAAAGGCAACUAAUAAUCCGUCAAGUGCUCACUAUGUGGAGCCAAGGACCUUAUGCCGGUUAAUCUUAAUCUUCAAACCUGGCUCCACGUUGAGGAUACCACUUCACCUGUAGCUCUUUUGAGAAGAGGUUGUCUAUACUUCCACACUUCACAUAUCCCAGUGAAGUUUUGGGGCCACCAAUCUUCCUAGAUCCUUAGUGCUGCCUUUUCCAUACCAUUAACUUGCUACCCUCUCCAGAAAAACAACAACAACUUUGUGAAGGCUCAUUCCACCAGAUUUAUACCACUCUUAUCUCAUUAAAGUUCUUGUCUUCUCUGCCUUAACUGCCACCUUGUCAUUCGUUGAAAUCAACACCUGGCGCACACUUCUCCACCCGGUGAUCCUGAAUGAUUUCAACAUUUAUGAGCCUGACUUGUCCAAUACCCUGGCCUCUCAGCUCCUUUACCUCAUCUUCAAUGAACUUCACCUCUGUACACCCCAUUUAGCCACCCUGUUCAGUACAGAUAAAGUAUGGCAAUUGUUCCAUAGCUGAAAUUGUGAACUCCAGAUACCCCAUUCUCUGAUCAUAAUUGCUGUCCUUUCUACUUUCUCACUUAGUUACUUCUCUUACACCUUGUCUUAUCUAUUGCUGCAUAACAAUUUACCCCAAAACUUAGGUAUUAAACAAUGAUCAUUUAUAAUCUCUGCGUGGCUUAGCUGAAUACCUUUGCCUCGAGGUCUUUCACAGGGCGGUAAUCAAGGUGUCAUUGGGAGUUGGGUUCUCAUGCAGGUCUGUUAGCUGAUGGAGGCUCUACUUCCAAAUUCAUUCACAUAGUCACUGGCAGGAUUCAGUUCCUCAAGAGCAUUGGACUGAGGGCCUCAGUUCCUUGUUAGUGGGCCUCUCCAUAGAGCAGCUCACCUGGUAGCUGGUUUCUAUCAGAGCAGGCAAGUGAGAGAGCAAGAGAAGACAAGCAAGCCAGAGUCUUUUUGAACCUAAUCUCAGAAGUAACAUCCCAUCGCUUUUGCUGCUUUUGCCGUAUGCUGUUCCUUAGAAAAGUCAUUUGGUUCAGCCUACUCUCAAGGGGAGAGGAUUAUCCAGGGGCAUAAAUACUAGGAGGCAGGAUCACUGGGGAUCAUCUUAGAGGCUGCCGAUCACACACUGUUAUUUAAUUUUACAUAGAAUUCAAAGUCCCUGAACCUCUCUAUCUUUGUAAUCUGUUCCCUUUUGCUUUCUCCUGAAUCCUUGGUUAGACUCUUGUCAUUUUGCUCUCUCUUCUCAGUGUCCUCAUCUCUAAUUCCCAUUGUCUUCCAUCCGACCUACCUGUCAAAACUCCAAUUCUAGAUCCUUCUGCCUUCUCCAAACCUACCACUUAGCUACAGAAAACACACAAAUGCGCACAUUGGUGCCACAGUGAAUUCACGGGCCCUCCCACAUUGCCUGGAGUUCUUCUGUUUCCUCAGUCACUUUGGUCGCUAGGUCUGGUUGCUGCUGUUGUUUAGUUUAUUUUUUGAGAGCAGUUUUAGGUUUAAAGCAGUAGUAAGGGAAAGGUAGAGAUUUCCCAUAUGCUCCCAGACCAUACACAUGCAUAGCCUCCGCCAUUAUCAAUACCCCUCACCGGAGUGGUGCACUUUCUACAGUUGAUGAACCUAUGCUGACACAUAACAAUCACCCAGAGGACAUAAUUUACAUUAGGGUUCACUCUUGAUGUACAUUCUGUGGGUUUGGACAAAUGUAUAAUGACAUAUGGACUUUUAUGAUGUCAUGCAGAGUAGUGUCACUGCCCUAAAAAUCAGUGAGUCUGGAGGGAGAGGGAGGUUGCAAAUAUAUAUAUAUUAAAAAAUAAAAUAAGGGGCACCUGGGUGGCUCAGUCAGUUAAGCGUCCGACUCUCGAUUUUGGCUCAGGUCAUGAUCUCACAGUUCAUGAGAUUGAGCCCCACGUCGAGCUCUGUGCUGACAGUGCAGAGCCUGCUUGGGAUUCUCUCUGAAAGUAAAUAAAUGAACUUAAAAAUAAAAUAAAUAUCAGUGAGUCUGUUUUAAACCUUCUCUAUUUCCCUCUUAACUCCAACUCCACUGGCUCCCACCCUCUCAGAUAGUGAUAGCCCUUCUACUUGAGAGAGAAUAAAAGCCAUCAAGAACUGCCUCCAUUUCCCACACCAAAUCUGAAACCUUACCUUUUUUCUCAUCCCUCUCCUUCCUCAUUACAAAGAAAAACGUCCCCCUACUUCUUAGGCUAACCCCUCUAUCUAUGUUCUGGAUCCACCCCCCUCCACCUUGUCAAGAACUCUCUUAAUAGAUAAUUCUCUCUCCUGUUUUUACACCUUCUCAGUUUAUCUGGAUUCUUCUUAUUAGCAUUUAAAUAUUCUCCCAAUUUCUUGCAUAGUGAAAAUAAAUAAAUCUUCCCUUUCUCCACAUCCCUCUUUCGAUAGCUCUUCUCCUCCCUCCACAGACAAACCCCCUCUGUGAAAUUCUUUGUUGCUUUCUAUAUCCUCACCCUGCAUUAAAUUGUCAGCACACUGCACUCUAUUGCUCUUAUCAAUUUACUGAAACUGUUCUCUCCAAGGUCAAUACUGACCUCCUCCUCACACCUCACACCUCCUCCAUAACAUUUGACACUAUUUGCUCCUCAAAAUGCCUUUUUCCUUCCCACAUUCCUUGUAUUCCUCCCAUCUAUCUAGCUGCUCCUCCUCAUCACCAUUGUGAAUGAUUUCUUUUGCUUCUACUUGAUAUUGAUGUUCCUCUGGAUUCUUCUCAAAGCGUCUUCCUUUCUAAUUUGAAACAUUCUUGGGGCACCUGGGUGGCUUAGUUGAUUGAGCAUCCAACUUCAGCUCAGGCCGUGACCUCAUGGUUCGUGAGUUCAAGCCCUGCGUCAGGCUCUGGGCAGACAGCUCUGGGCAGAUUUAUGUCUCCCUCUCCAUCUGCCCCUCCCCCAUUCUCUCUCUCUCUCUCUCUCUCUCUCUCUCUCAAAAAUAAACAAUCAUUGAAACAUUCUUCCAAAGACAUCUUAGCCACUCCCCUGGCUGCAUGCUAAGGAUUCCUAAAUAUAGGUAUAUAGCUCCUGUCUAAAUCUCUUUCUUCAGCUGCAGAUCCUAUGUUCAAUAAUAAUAACCUAGCACCUUGGGAAUUCAAAUUCAACAUGUCUCACAAGAAACUCAUUAUCUUUCCUCUCAAACCUGCUCUUCCCUAGUACGUGUCACAGCCCCAAUAAUGACACCAGAAGUUACCCAGUUGCAAACCAGAAAUCUGGAGAUCAUCAGUGACACCUCCCCUUUCUCAUUCCUCACUUCCUAGUCAACCUCUGAAAUGUUGGAUCCACAGCGGCACAGUCAAGCACACAGGCCCCAGAAACCGACCACCUGGGUUCACAUCCCAACAUUGUAUAACCUUGAGUAAGUUAUAUGUAUCUCUGUUCGAUGGCUGUCUCCUCUGUCAAAUAAAGAUGAUAAUAGGACCUUCCUCCUAGGGUUGUUCUGGUCUUGAAGAUUAUAUGAAUUAGUAAAUGUUAAACACAUAGAACACUGUCUGGAUCAUCUCUGUGUUAAACUUUUAUGAUGAUUAUUUAAUAUAUCCUAUUGCUUAAACUUGGCUUAUUUUUACCUGAACUACUACCGCACCAGGCUUAUACUAGAGAUCCCCAAUGCCAGUCUUCCCUACCUAUACCCCAUCCAUUCUUGCUAUGGUAGUCAAAGUGGCAUUUCUAAAAUGCAGAUCUGCUCAUUUCUCUUCUCCCUGAUUCCCUCAUGUGAUUUAUUCACCCCAGAUCUCCUGUCACAGCUCUACCCUUCAAACAGCUAACAGACCAAGUGAACUUGGUUUUGGUCUUUCAAGGAAACACUUGUCUCCAGGCCUUUGCACAUACUUUUGUGUCUGCCUGGAUCGCUCUUUCCAUCCCUUUGUCCUCCUCUCCACCCUUCUCACUCCACGUGACUACCACCUCCAUAUCCUUCAACUUCCUACUUGGAAACCGUUCUCCCCUUUCUCCCCUGAAAGGCACUGAGAAGAUGACAGGUUUAGUUCUCUUGCCUCCUAUUUUUGGUUUAUCAAAGCACUUAUCAGAUUGGAACAUAAUUGUCUCUUUGCCCUCUAAAAUGUCAUCAGACUCAGUCUGAUUUAUUGACAGUGGAAUCCCCAGCCCAAUGUCUGGGAAUUCAACAUAGCUGGUCAGCCAAUAUUUGUUAAUAAAUGAAUGAGACCAAAGUAUUAUCAUGUUCAUUUUACCUAUAAGGAGCUAGAGCCUCAUGGAGGAUGUUUGUUGAAGGUCACAGAGCAAGUAAGUGGCAGAGAAGGGAUUUGACACCAGUUCUUGUGACUCUAAAGCUCAUGCUCACUUUGCCUUUACAGGAAGGAAAGAGACUUUGAUCUUCCUUGGAAGUAGAUUCUGGUCACUUCUGUGCCUGGGCAGCAUUAGACCAGAGGCAGUGGGUGAACGCAGUACCGAGCAGGUGUAGAGGUGAGAAAUCCUCACCUUCUCUCAAGAAAGUUGAUAGAGCAGCAUUUGCUGUUUUAGAAACAUGGUAGAGAUUGAAUCUCUGGUUUCCCCUAGUGUAAUAUAGUGAGGCUCCUGGUCCUAACGGUGCACCCCAACCCCUUGCUUGGAACUAAGCCUGGGGCACCUGAGCCACCUCUCUCAGUCAUGUAGCAGCUCCUUGAAAAAGGAUCAAAAGUCAGAUGCAAGCAGAUGGGGUAAAAGGCCAGAGUACAAACUUCCUUCCGUCUAAAAGCCCCUAUUUCCACCUCCCCGCAGAAACACCGGCUGUAAGAUGUCUCUAGGUGGCCCUGGCCCCAGACCGGGGUCAGGCAUUUUAUAUCAUGGCUGCUCUGAAUGUAUUUUAUUUUUUAAAGGAUCUAGUAUGUUUAUGAAUCUUGUGUAUACUGGCAAGAUUUUGAAAAGGUAUUUAAUUUUGUAAUGUUUACCAAUGAUUUAUUUACAAGCUAUUUACUCAAAUAAGUGGAGCCACUUGCGAAAAAGAGAGAAAGAGACUUUGAAAUCCUUAAAGGUAACUCCUGUGUGGUGCACGCGGCACACACACACACACACACACACACACACAGAGUCUAGAGACAGACAAGACUCAUUUAAACAAACAAACAAAACACCCUGCUUCCUGUAUUCCUUCGAGAGCAAAUUUAGGAAAUAUAUCCUGGUAGUAAUAUUAGCCAAAAUAUAUUAAGCACUAAACAUAAGCACCAGACUUUAUACUAGGGGAGGGGAAAUAAAUAAAUAAAUAAAUAACAGACUUUGUGCUAAAUGCUUUUAUCUAGGGCACCUAGUUGGCUCAGUCGGUUAAACAUCCAACUUCGGCUCAGGUCACGAUCUCUCAGUUCGUGGGUCCAAGCCCCGCAUCAGGCUCUGUGCUGACAGAUCAGAGCCUAGAGCCUGCUUUGGACUCUGUGUCUCUCUCUCUGCCCCCACCCCUUCCUCUGUCUCUCUCUGUCUCUCAAAAAUAAAUAAACAUUGAAAAUUUUUUAAAAAUAAAUAAAUGCUUUUAUCUGCCUCACAUGUUUUAAUCUGUAGACCAGCCCUUUGAAAUGGAUAUGAUCAAUCUCUUUCUACAAAGGACAUAAUGCUUAGAAAAGGUAAGCAGCCAACUUUAGGUCAAUAACAAAUAAGGGAUGGAUCAAAAUUUGAACCCAGAACUUUCUGACCAUAGUCUGCUGUUAACUAUGUAACCAACCGACUUCUAAGGUGACCAAGCAUGCCCUCCUCCUGCACUUGUAGGAUCUGGAGGCUGGGCAAAGAAGGAGUUUUCAACUCUCCAGUAACCUUCCUUGAGGGAAACAGGAGAAAUCUCAGCACUAGAGUAACCCUGCCUCCAUUCUUCCUGAUGCACCUCCAACUUCAACCCAUCAUCCACACUGUUACCUGGUAUUCUUUCAAAACGCAAAUCCCAGUGGCGCUUGGGUGGCUCAGUAUCUGGGUUAAGUGUCCGACUUCAGGUCAGGUCAUGAUCUCGCAGUUCAUGAGUUCAAGCCUCAAGUUUGAGCCCCGUGUUGGGUUCUGUGCUGACAGCUCAGACUCUGGAGCCUGCUUCAGAUUCUUUGUCUCCCUCCCUCUCUGCCCCUCCCCUGCUCAUGCUCUCUCUCAAAAAUAAACAUUAAAAAUGAAAAAUAAAUGAAAUAAAAUGCAAAUCCCAAUGACACAGAAACCCUCCUCAACACUGCAGUGGCUCCCUUUCUGUUUCAGGGUACUUUCAACCCCACAGCAUAGCACAUGAGGCCCUUACAAUCUGGCCCUGAUCUGCUUUUCUUCCUUCUCUUCCUUUUCUCCGCCUCUUUGUUUUGUAUGUUUAUCGUGGAAGGAAUUGUGUCUCCCCCAGAUUCAUACGUUGAAGCCUAAACCCCUGGUGUGACUGAAUUUGGAGAUAGGGACUUUAUGGAAGGAAUUAAUGUUAAAUGAAGUCGAAAGAAUAAGGCCCUCAUCUCAUAGGAUUCAUGUCCUUUUAAGAAGAAAAAGAGACUAGAGGCCCCGGGGGUAGCCCAGUGGGUUAAGUGUCUGACUUUAGCUCAGGUCAUGAUCUCAUGGUUUGUGAGUUCAAGCCCUGCGUCAGGCUUUGUGCUUGGAGCCCGGAGACUGCUUCAGAUUCUGUGUCUCCCCGUCUCUCUCUGCCUCUCCCCCACUCAUAUGCACGUGCUCUCUCUCUCUCUCUCUCUCUCUCUCAAAAAUAAAUAAACGUUAAAAAAAAAAAAAGAGGAAGAAGAGGAAGAGACCAGAUCUCUUUCUUUCUCCCUGCAGGCGCACAGAGGAAAGACCAUGCGAGGGCACAGUGAGAAGAUGGCCGUCUGCAAGCCAGAAGGAGACUUCUCACCAGACAACUCUGACACCUUAAUCUUGGACUUCUAGCCUCCAGAGUUAUGAGAACACGUUUCUGGUUUUUAAGCCGCCCAUUUUGUAGUAUGUUGUUAUGGCAGUCCAAACUGACCAGUACAAAGUUUCACUGUAUGUUUACUUAAAAGAAAAGCCUCCAAACCCAAGUUGUCCAGAUCAGCCCUGAUCAGAAGAACUUUCUGUGAUGAUGGAAAUAUUCUGUAUAUGCUCUGCCCAACACAGUAGUCACCAGCUACACGUGGCUAAUGAGGACUUGAAAUUCAGCCAGUGCAGGGGCACCUGGGUGGCUCAGUCGGUUCAGCGUCUGACUUCAGCUCAGGUCAUGAUCUCACAGUUUGAGCUCAAGCCCCACAUCGGGCUGUGUGCUGACAACUCAGAGCCUAGAGCCUGCUUCACAUUCUGUGCCUCCCUCUCUCUGCCCCUCCCCCCGCUCACACUCUGUCUCUGUCUCUCUCUCAAAAAUAAAUAUUAAAAAAAAAGAAAGAAAGAAAUUCAGUUAAUGCAACUGAGCUGAGUUUUUAUUGUUAUUUAAGUUUAAUUAAUUUAAGUUUAAAUAACUCCAUGAGGCUAGUGACUAAUGUAUUAUUACACUGCACUAGUGUAGGUGAUUGACCUUGAAUCUUGAUUACACUUGAAUAUCUGAUGCCAUAAUUUUCCAUAUAAGUUUUUAAAUUAAGUGAUUUCUAUAUUCCUUGUGUAGUCCAAACAUGAUUAAAAUGCUUAAGGCACCCUUAAAAAAAAAACUUAAGAAACAACAAAAUAAGUUUAUAACAUUAAAAGUAGAACUUAAAUCCUGUUUGAAAAAAGGAAGAAAGAAAGAAAGAAAGAAAGAGAAAUUAUCCUGUGCUUGAGACUUAGACAUUAUUUCCCAAACUUUACAAACCUUAGGACAAAAUUCCUAUCAACUUAAGAAAGAUCAUGUGUGCUUCCCAAUUUGCCCUGUCUAUAUAGUAAGUCAAUGUAAAGGAUUUCAAAAGAUGUAAUACACAUUUAUGCAACCAUAUUAAUUCUUUGGACAAAAGUUACAAAAUUUCAGUUAGUGCAUGAACUUUGUACCCUGUUUUGUUGUCAUGUAACGGCAAGACCAACCUUAAUUCCAUUGUCCCAAAUGCCAUUAAUCAACGCCUCUGGGUUCUCAGCAGCCUUAGAUAAUUGUAUAUUGAUUUUUCUCCUGCUACAGCCAUCAUUUUAACCACUGUUGAGUUUUGUCACCUUGGACCUCCCUGCCCUACUCAAACCUCUAAGAAAAAAAGCAUAAGGAGAGCCCCAGAGGUGCCAUCUUUAUCACAGAGCAGCUUGCUGCUCUGAAUCUGUCUCCUCUCUGCAACCUGAGAUGGUCAAGCAGGGAUGGAACCUAAGGAUUCCUCUUCUCUGUCCUCAAGUCCUGGAGUCUCUGGCUAGCAAACUCAAGAGUUAGGAACAUUCGAGCAAGUAAUAGCAAACUAGAGGAACCAUAGAUUAAGCAUAUACUUUUUUCUUUCACAGAUGAAGAGGUUGGAGGUAUUUGUUUAGAGGCUCAAGCAUCUCA
This 9118-nucleotide long non-coding RNA is filed under the name Lynx pardinus (Iberian lynx). The record is from RNAcentral. Lineage: Eukaryota; Metazoa; Chordata; Mammalia; Carnivora; Felidae.